CAACUUCCCAGCAAGAGACCUACAUUGAGCUCUUAACGUAGCAUUAUUUCUCAAAGAUCUCAACUACUUACUUGGUGACUAUCUGUAAGAGCCCUACUAUCCUAGGGCUUUAAGAAGACCUGAUGCACAGACAAUCCUGAGAAAUAUGACAUCUGACUAGGGGACCUGUUUAACACUGAAGAAGACAUGAGGGGCUCCUGGAAGAUGACGGCAUCUGAUGAAGUGCUCUGGUGCUUCCAAAUAUAUCAUCAUUCUGUUAGAAAACCAAACACAUGAAGAGCCCAAUCAACACCCUGGGAGAACGAGGCAUCUCAUGUGAACCCCCAUCAAAGUGCGAAGCCUCAGAAUUAUAAUUAAGAAACCAAACCUCAGGCAAGGACCUGAAGCACAGUAGAUCACCACAUCCAGACAAUCAGACCCCAGACCUCUCAUCCAUCAUGACUGCUUUGUUAUCCCUUCCUAAUUCCUGUUUUCCUGCUGCAUUCCUUCCCACAGGUAGCUAUAUUUCUUCCCUGUUCUAUAAACCAACAAUUUUAUUCAGUUGGGAGAGAUGGAUUUGAGGUUUGGUUUCCAUCUCUUUAGCUGACAUCACCUGAAUAAAAAGCCUUCUUCUCUGUC
Molecule: long non-coding RNA, 618 nt
Organism: Gorilla gorilla gorilla (western lowland gorilla)
Lineage: Eukaryota; Metazoa; Chordata; Mammalia; Primates; Hominidae
Exons: 4
Source: RefSeq, a predicted model, not a curated record